RNAcentral lists this long non-coding RNA (6842 nucleotides) under Medicago truncatula (barrel medic). RNAcentral describes it as "long non-coding RNA (MTRU_LNC005858)". Lineage: Eukaryota; Viridiplantae; Streptophyta; Magnoliopsida; Fabales; Fabaceae. The record is from RNAcentral.
UUUUCCUUAGAAAAUUUAUUCAAUUCAAACUCAAGUGUCUUACAUUAUUUACUUAUCUGGUUUUAAGGUCAGUAUGUUUUUUACCUUCACGUUAUACAUAAUGAAAUUUUAACUUCCAUGAAAGCUAUAUCAUGGAUCGAAUGCUAGUGCUAGAUAAAAUUGCAUAGGAUAUCGUAUCAUAUUUGUUAUGUGAUAAUUCAAUCUUGGUUAAAGUUUAUUAGUUAACUAACUUGGAGAGUUAGUUGAGUUAGUUUCUAACUGUUAUGUGGAUUUCAAGUAACAGGUUGGUUAAGACUUAUUAGUUGAUAUACUUGCUAUACAAGCAAGCUAAAUGAGUGUAAUUCUCUCUUCUCUCUGAUCCUUCUUCUUCUAAAUAACUUGUUCCAACAAUAUCACGUAAAUCGGGAUAAUAUCUCAAAUUUUGUUCCAAAAAAAAAAAUGCUAACUAGUGUCGUUGAGGUAUCGGUUAAAGUACUAAAAUAAGUAAUUUUGUAACUAAAACUUGUGUAAUUAUUGCUAAGACAAAAAUAAAAACUUGCAUUUCUAAAACAUAAUUUCUACUAAUGAAUUUCUUAACCAUUACCCUUAAGGCACUGAUUAGAAGAAAAAAAAAAGAAAAAAAAACUAACUCUUGCGGUAUAAUUAAGACCCACAAUUUCACAAAUAAUGCUUGUUUUCUCCCAUUCAACAAGUUCUAUGUCUUGCUAUUGUUAGCCACAUGAUUGCUUAACUAGACAAUGUAUAGUGCUAUAUAACUGUUAGGAGGACAAUAUUUUGUGGAAAUGAAGGACGUAUGUUCUAAGUUCUAACUUUGAGCACUAGUUUGGAAUAGCUCCUCUAUUGGUAUUAUGUAAUUGUUGAAAUUGUAUGGUUUAGUCAAUAUAAAAGAAGGCCAACCGUUUUUUCAUUUACUUUAGAUAAAACUGAAAUUAUUAUAUAUUUAUUUGGUUCAAUUAAUUCACCAUGGGACUGAUGGUUGACACUUGGAUCCUGCUUUAUAGAGUGCGGCGGUCAUCGUUGUAUCAAUUAAUCACAACAAUGCACAAUAUUAUAAAAAUUAUUUAUACUAUCAUAUAAUGUAUAAUAACUUAAAUUGAACAAUUUGUCAACAAAUAAAACUAUUUUGAAGGAUUUUUUAUUUAUAUUCUAUAAGAUGGUUUAAAAUAAAUAUAAUAAUUAAAACUUUACGAUAUUGCACAACACAAAAAUAGAGGCAGGAAGGAAAAUGAAUGUUUUUCGCUUCCAUGAUGGUGUGUCACAUUCGUAACAGAGUUUUUAUGGCCAUAUCAAGGUUUUGUGAUGAUGGUAACAAAUGUUUUGCUGUGAUUUCUCAUCCUGAAAACAGGUAAUGGACCCGUAUUUAAAACCUUGUUUAUGAUCUAAGAGUGUCUGACGUGCGUUUAUGUCCAACAAGAUCGACACAUGUGAUUACAUUUAAUUAUAUCAUUUUUUUCAAAUACUACUAGUGUUCGUAUUGUGCUAGUGUUUUGUAGAUUACUAUUUUAGUUGUUAAAUUAAUAUAAUAUACUCCUUUGUUUGAGUUUGAACCAGGACCUCACACUCCUUAACCUUGACUCAAAUAAGUGGAGCUAUCCAACCCCAUAGCAUGAAAUCAAAGGGUAAACACUUAUUUUGUUUCCUAAAUGUGUCUUAUGUUAGUAAUUUUAGUGAUCAAAUUGACUAGCGGAAGACACAUUCAAUUGACAAACUAAUUAACAAAAGACACAACCAAACUGGCUUAUGAAAGAUGUAUAUAUUUCUGUAAGUUUUGAUAUAUUCAAAACCUAUUGUCGCAACACCACAACGUUUAAGAGCCAAAGGGAUUGUUUAAUCCGCAAUCAAUUUGAAAAUUUCAGGAAUUUUUAUUUCAGCUAUGUUGCCAAUAGCACGCUAUAGCGGUGUAGUUUGGCAGCGCUGCCCUCCACUUCCGCACCAUAGGCCCGAAAAGCGCCAUUGAGAGUAUCAUCACUAGCGGCCUAUAUUAGUGGUUAAAAAGCAGCGCCAUUGCGGCGCUGGUGCUAUCCCGGUACCGUUGUGAUUUGAUAUCUGCUAUUGCAAUUUUAGGGAAAAAUUCUCAAAAAUCCUGUUACCGUAUCUUUGAGUUUGAGUUCUGUCAUUGUUGCCUUGUAUUGACCAUGAAAAUAAGGAAGUUAGUGUCAUUCACAGAGAUAACUUGUGUAGCAAGUUAUCUUGUUAGUUAUCCAUAAUUAACUGUCAUAGCUAGAAUCUUGUAUAGCGUAUCUACAAUAGCUAUCAUACACACUCUUGUGUCCUAUAAGACAAAUAUGGUAUGACUUAUGAGAGCCUGGUUAUGUCAUCAUUGUUCUCCAUCCUUGCUCUAUUUCUGUGCAAAAGUUUGCACUGUCCAUCCUUUCUAUUUCUGCUCGAGUUCUUUUUUGGUUCGUUUCUGGUUUCGUUCUUCUCCUUCCUUUAUGUUUUUGCAUUGUUAUGUUUGUUUUUGGAAUUUAUGUUUAAUUUAUGUUUUUGACAACAAAGAAUUUCAGAGACUAAAUUGAUGGCUCUCAAAUUUUUUAAUGAAUAUAAGUGAUUCACUCUUUUAACCUAUUGACCAUUAUGCUACUUUAUUAUUGAAGCAAUCCCCAAGUUAGUCAUGAAAUUGUAGGAGUCGAACACUGGAUUUGAGUGGUUGUUCCAAUGUUAUCACAGAAUAGGGAAGGAAUUUAAAAUGGUAUACACAGUUCACCUAAUAGAUUGAGUAAACACAUGACCUUAGAUGUUGUAUUUGCAACUAGUCUUGUUGUGUGUGAUUCAAAAUCAUUUUAAUCUGAAGCUACUUGUUUCUCAAGAAAGUGGAAAUACAAGGCGGUUUUCUUGCUCAGCAAGUCUGUUGAGACGCAAGGCGGUUUCUUGAAGUGCAAGACAAAUAGAGCUAAUUUGUUGAUAGCAAAUGAUAAAUAUGGUGUAGUGAAAGUGAUGUAUUGUAAUGAAACAAUAAGACUUCUGAACUGUUAUGAAUCUACACCAGUUUUAAUGGAGUCUGGUAGGAGGCUUUGCAUUAGUCAUAUUAAAUUUAUCCAACAAUUCUUGAAUAUAAUCAUGUUGAGAUAAAAGGAUACCCUCCUUUGUGGGAAUGAGUUCAAUUCUCAGGAAUUAAUGAGGAUGGCCAAGAUAUUUAAGUGAGAACCUAUUUGACAGUUGUUCCAUUUACUGCUUUAAGAAUUCACUUUGAAUACAUGUCAAAAGAAGAUCAUCUUCAUAGAACAAAAGAAAGACAUUGUUGUUGUAAAUGAAUAAUGAGCAAAAGAAUAAGCAUAACAUGAGCAAAUUGUACAGGUUAAAGAUUCAAUACAAUUUAGGUAUCGCUUUCAAUAUGACUUAGUUGUUAAUUCGAAUUUUAGUAAACUCAAAAGUGAAACCGACUUUACAUUGUUGGACUCACGGUGAACUCAGUAAACUAAAAUAAACUUGUAGGAAAUUUUUAAAAUAUUUUUUUACUUUUUUUUUUCAUCUUGGAUUUCACAUUCUGUUUAUCUACUACUUUAUUAACUUGAUAUUGUUCAUGUUAGUUUUGUUGAAAUUUUGAGUUAUUGUAUUAUAUAAGUAUGUCUCAUAUAUAUUAUUUUAAUAUGAAAUAAACUUGUGAGAAUCCAUAAGUCGAGUUUACAAGUUGAUUUCACGUAGACAAAAUGAGUUUAUUUAAACUCUAGAAAUUGACAGCCUAAUUUUCUGUAGUAGACACCAAAAUUUAUAUCGCGUACAUUCAACAUUAAUACCUUCUUCCUAUUACACUAUAUUACAAAUUAGUAAGGUUCUGUUUGGUAAAAAUAGCGGAUAGCUUAUAAGCUAGCUUAUAGCUUAUAGCUUAUAGCUGAUGACUUAUUCAGCUAGUUGAAGUGUUUGGUAAAAUUAGCGGUUCAACUGACUUAUAAAUGUAAAAUAACAUAAAAGGACAUUCUUAUUUCAUAUUAAAAUUUAUAUUCAUUAAUAUUUAAGUAUUUAUAAUUUAUUAAUUUAAUAUAUUUUUUAUGCAUUAUCUUUAGAAAAAUAUAAAGAGUAUCUACUGAAAAAACAAAAUAUAAAGAGUAAAAGAUUUGGACGUAAAAAAAAAGUAUGGAAAUAAAAUAUAACGAGUUUAGUGAAUUUAAGUAAUAAAAAUAAUGUUAAGCCUAACCAAAAGAAUUUAAACGUCUCUACAUUUUUUUAUAUAUAUUAUGAUGUAGGUAUACUGCAGUUGCAUAAAAACAUAAUUAAUUAUAUCUAUUAUUACAACAAAGGAAGGCAAUGGAUAUUUAUAAGGUAAUUCUAUCUAUUAGUUAAAUUAUAAAGGAUAAAAAUGAAUUUUAGAUAAAAUAUUAAGGGUAAAAAUGGAAGAAAUAUUGAGAAGCUAUAAGCUCAAACGCUACUUGGAAUAGCUUCUAAAAAAUAGCUUAUAAGCUCGUGAAAUAAGCUAUAAGGUCAUGGUGAAAAAGCAUUACCAAACAGAGCUUUUUUUGUCAGACGAGCUUAUAACCUAUAAGCUAUAAGCUCAUUGUGGUGUCUUAUCAAAUAGACCCUAAGUAGUAGCUUCCAUCGGAUAUUUACCCAACCUAAUCAGCCCGCAAAUUUCAACCUUCAACAAUUGCAUCAAAAGGAGAAGAUGAGCACAAUAUAUUAGCAUGCCCCUACUGCAACAAAUUACGAUGUAAACUCCACCACUUGGGCAGACCUUAAGCUAGCACCCCUCCAAGGUGCAAUGGAGGUCACACGCCUAGACGAUGGGCCUUCUUGAUCACAACACCUGCCAGGUAAGUAUGCUGCAAUGUGUCACACACUUCUAUUUUAUAACUCAUGCUCCACAUUAUUCACUAUAAAUCUUCCGAUGUGGGACUUUUAUUAUUACAUUCUAAACACCAUUCAAGUGUCAGCAGUUCAUACCCUAGCUCACACAUUUGCCACUCCAUUAGAUCCAAAUAGACAAAGUAUGUUUAAUCAUAUUGCAGUUGUUGAAUCCGAUAUUUUUUGUUGAACUGAUAAUAUGCGUUACAAAGGCUAUGAAUAAACUUGGUCUCACUGAUGACUAAUUUUGUGUAGAAAAACUUCAAAUGUCUUACUCAAAAAGCUCUUGCAGAAACCAAUUAAGGAAUGUUUUUGCUCCUUGAUCUCCUAACUUUCCCUAUAUUUUCUAUUUUUCUAGAACAGUUAUGUAUAUCAUGUAAGGAAACCUUUUCUAGUGCCAUUACUAUACCUAUUUUUACUUUUGGGGUGUUUGUUUCCAGGUUAUAAAAUUUAUUCCUGGAAAUAUGAGGAUGGGAAUGCACUUUCCCAUGUUUGGUAGAAGGUAAAAGAAAAAUAUACCUGGGAACAAAUUAUACCCAGGAAAAUUUUUAACCUAUGAUCUCCCUAUUUUUAUUCCCAUGAAAAAGGAGUUGGAAUGUUUUAUUCCUAGGAAUGACAUUUGCCUUGCUACAUGAAAACCCCACUACCACCAUGUUUUUUCAACUACCAAUUAAUUUCUAUUUUUUUCUUUUACAUGCUCUACAUCAAGACAUUGUUAUAAUGCAUGUUAUUAUAUGUAAUUCAUCUAUUAUUUCUUUAUGUUCUUUUUGGUUUGUGCAAAAAAAUAUUUAUGUGUCUAUUCAAGUUUUCAACAAUAUUGUUCUAUUAUAACAAUCAACUAUAUUCUAUCAAUCAACUAUAUGAAAACAUAAUUUUAUUUCAUGGUGUAUUUUCAAAUGCUUCAAGUUAUAAUGAAAAUAAAAUGUAGUAAAAUAAAUUCAAAUUGAUUUAGAAACAAGGUAGAGGUAUUUUUGUAACUGUAUCAUGUUUUUUCUAGGAAUAUAUAUUCUAAACUAAACAACAAUUAGCUAUUUAUGGAAACAUUUUUUGAAAAUAUUCCUGAAAAAUUAAAAUACUAACCAAACACUUUUUUUUAAAAUACCCAGGAAUAAACUUCCCACUACUUUAUUCCCAGGUAAAUUAUUCCUGGGAUUAAUUUAUGAAUCCCUGAAACAAACGCCCCUUUGUGUUUGUUUACAUCUUUGUUUUCCACAAUUUAGGCUCAAGUCUCUGUCAAGUCUAACACUCCUUCCAUGCUUAGAGCCUAGAGGACCCAUUUAACUCUUGCGUUUGAACCACCUGGAGGUUUACAUAAGUUGAAUGGUACAAUGGUGUUUCAUGUUUACAAAUUAAAUGCAUAAUUGACACAUGAGUAACAUGAAACACCGUCGCACCAUUCAACUUAUGUAACAUGAAACUCCAUUACACCAUAAGCAGGAAGUCUAACACUUCUUCCAAAUUUACAAAUUAAAUGCAUAAUUUGGAUACACUGUCAUUCAGAGAUGCAACUAAAGCAAGAAUUAAGAAGGUUUCUUCGUGGUCUAUGUGAUGCAGAUCUUAAUGAAUUCGGAACAUCACAUGCAUCAGAAAUGUCGAAUCUUUUCUUGAGAUCUCUUAUGAUUGGAAUGGGAAGUUGCCACAUAUAUAGUCAUUGAUACUCUUGGCAAGAGUUUAUCACAGGUUCCUUCUCUAUCUUCCAUCUCAACUUUACUGAUAUUUAUCUUUAAUUAAGAGAAAAUAAAAUUACUUCCCUUUUUAGAUAAUUAUUAUAUCUUCUUUUUUUUUGUAGGAAAGUGAAAAGGAAUUAUAUGAAAGCAAUUACUUCACAACCUGUUUUCUUUGAAUCAAUUUCCUUGUUUAUAUUUUUCUGCGUAGUUCACUAUACACGGCUCAAGAAUGCGUCUGCAUAGCAUAAUUAGAAUUGCAUAAAUAAAUAAGCGUAUGUUGAUGAUCCAGGGAUUGACAACCCGUGAUUCUAGAGAUUUUUUCCUUCCGGGCAGCAAUUAUCCUUCUUGGUUAGCCUAUACCUGAGGAUAGUGAUUGUAUCAUGAAGGGAAUAAGUUUAU